UACGGGGGGGGCAAGCGUUGUUCGGAAUUACUGGGCGUAAAGGGCGCGUAGGCGGCCUACUAAGUCGGACGUGAAAUCCCUCGGCUCAACCGAGGAACUGCGUCCGAUACUGGCGAGGCUUGAAUUCGGGAGAGGGAUGUGGAAUUCCAGGUGUAGCGGUGAAAUGCGUAGAUAUCUGGAGGAACACCGGUGGCGAAGGCGGCGACCUGGUCCAUUACUGACGCUGAGGCGCGACAGCGUGGGGAGCAAACAGG
RNAcentral lists this ribosomal RNA (254 nucleotides) under uncultured bacterium. RNAcentral's name for it is "partial 16S ribosomal RNA". It matches the Rfam family "Bacterial small subunit ribosomal RNA", at positions 524 to 776 of the family's 1533-position model. The record is from RNAcentral.